RNAcentral lists this long non-coding RNA (426 nucleotides) under Numida meleagris (helmeted guineafowl). RNAcentral describes it as "lncRNA (ENSNMEG00000006895.1)". Lineage: Eukaryota; Metazoa; Chordata; Aves; Galliformes; Numididae. The record is from RNAcentral.
GAAUCACAAUCACUGCCAUUGAUCUGUAUCUCAGCUCCCUCUCAAUUAGCGUUUCACAGCUGUCACUGCUUGGUACAAGCUAGAACUGUUCUCUUUCUCUCUCCAGGUGCUUGGCAGAGGUCUUUGUGUUCUCUCUCCACUGUUCUUCAGAAGGGUCUUGCAGCAAAGAAGGAUCUGCAGUGCUGGAGAUGCUGUUGGCACCCAGUUUUGUGAUAAAGUGAUGAGCAGGAAAUGAGGAGCUUCACCAGAUGCUGUGUGAGGAAUCACCUAUUUGCAGCCUGUGUUGGGUAUCAAAUUGUCAGACUGGAAGCUGCUGUGUUUCCUCAGUCCUGGAAUGAUGAAACUGUGUUCCUACAAGGAGGAAAGGACAAGGAUCUAAAAAAUGUUUCUCCAGAGGUUGGAAACCUUAGCCUAAGCCUACAUUAA